UCAUAAAUCUUGUCAUUGUUCCUGAUUUCAAACAGGAAGGCCGCUGAGAGAUCUGGAGGAUCCGGUUUCCCCCGAGAGAGGAGGCAGACCUGGGCGGAGGAGCGGAGGAUGAACGCAGAGACGUUUGGCCUCCCGCUGCGGCGGGGUCGCGGAGGCUUCAGAGGUCGCGGUGGCAUGGGCUUCAGAGGGGGCCGAGGCCGCGGAGCUGGACGGGGGUGGUUUGGAUCUCACCCUGGUGGAAGUGGCUUUAGAGGGGCAUUCAGAGGAAGCCAAGGAGGAAGAGAGUUCUCUGACUUUGAAUACAGGAAGGAUAACAAAGUUGCUGUAUAGUGGUCAGAGAAAGCAGAUCCAGAAGACCUGAUUUGUGUGGGAUCUGCAUUUCUGGUCACAUGUUUUGCUGAGAACGAGGAGAUAAUGUACGUGUUGUAAAAAUCUGUCACCAGCACUGCUUCAAACCUGGCUAUUAAUGAAACAGCUACUCCAUUUCUUCCUGAGGAGUGGAACAAAUGUUUUGUUUUUUUUGAAGCGUUAAUUUGAGAAUAUUUCCAGAUGGCUUCAAAUACAUUAUGAUUUCUGAGGGACUGAGGGCUGUUUCGUUGACCUUCAAUGCUUAACCUGAAUUUAAUAUACUGCUGCUUACAGCUAACAGAUUAUCUAGAACAACGUAUUGUGUUUUUGAUCACUGAAUGAGCUUUAUUUUUGACUUGUUUUGCUAUAAAGUAUCUUAGUGUAUUUAGCAUCAACAUAGACUGCCUGGAACUCAGUUAUGCAUUGUCAUAUUUUUCUAAUGUAAUUUCAUUCUUCAGCCCCCAACAUCACUAUUCCUGUUCCUGUAGCAAGUAGAAUUAUUAUUAUUUUUUUUAAAUAUAUAUAAACGUGGAUGUAUCAGUCCCUCGUAAGAGGUCUGUAGUUUCGGGACAAGCGCUUCAAGAGGUGCCAGUAUUGGUAGAGUUUCACUAAAGGACGUUUUAGAUAUAAUGGAGAAAAACACAGAAAUGCAGUUUUUGAGGGAAACCAGGAAAUAGCACAAAUUAAAAUGAGACGAUGUGGUCAACCAAGGCAAAGCGACCUCAGUGAUACGUUUCUAUUUUCUGUGGGUUUGAUUUAUAUUUGAUGAGGUCCACUUUGCAGUAUGUAGCACUUUUGUAGCAGACGUUUACUAAGAAAUAAUGCUACUCUGUGACUCUACAGAACUCUAUGCUGCAGUUACUUUGACGGUGAGCUUUUACCACUAAUAAUUAUAAUCCCGUCAUUCAACAUUCAGAUCAUAUGUCCUUCGCCUCAUAAAACAUCGAGUGAAACUGACGUGUCACACUGAGCCUAGAGCUCGCUGGGAAGUUUGAGAGUACUUAUGAUUAUUUUACCAGAUAUUAUUCAGUAGCAGUGCUUCCCAGUGGAUCGUUUCUCCUGCUUUCUAUCUUAAAUGUGAGCGGAAGCUGGAGCAUCGAAAAGGCAGAAUGUGUUGUGUCUCUGUAAUGCAGGUGCCGUUUAGCUUUUCCCGCCUCGUUCAGCUGCUGUGUUUUACAGUCACUGACUGCUCUAGCUGACCUGCACAUUGUGAUGUCAUUAUCCACACCUACGCAUCGCUCGUACGCAUCGCUCGUCACUUCCGUCGCAUUUUGUAACCAAAUCUGUUUUUGGCCUCUGAUAGCUUGGCAUUAUUCUCGCAGGGAGAUUUUGCUGUGGAGCAAACGGCGGCAGAAUAAAGUCAUUUUUUUAUGGAUUUAUCAUUGAAGUUGAAGGAUUGAUCUAUUUUUACUGGCCAGUUUGUGACUCUGAUCUUGAUUGUGUAGUGUAUGGCUGUAACAUCUCUACAAAAAUGUAUUUAGUUUUUUCCUCCA
Molecule: long non-coding RNA, 1841 nt
Organism: Sinocyclocheilus grahami
Lineage: Eukaryota; Metazoa; Chordata; Actinopteri; Cypriniformes; Cyprinidae
Exons: 3
Source: RefSeq, a predicted model, not a curated record